Molecule: long non-coding RNA, 1906 nt
Organism: Carassius gibelio (silver crucian carp)
Lineage: Eukaryota; Metazoa; Chordata; Actinopteri; Cypriniformes; Cyprinidae
Exons: 5
Source: RefSeq, a predicted model, not a curated record
CACACACACACACACACACACACACAUGUGGUUGAUCUGUUUUUUUUUUUUAUUUCCUAGUAAGACUCAUAGUAUUUUACAAUGGGCAUGACUUCAUCAGAGGCCUCUGAAGCUGAGGUGCCAGUGAAUCCAUGCAGCUGUUGGGGCCACAUCAAAGAACGGGAGAAAUGUCCAUAAUUCUCAAAUCCCCAUUUAUGUAUAGGGUUACAUUUGAGUUAAAAGCAGAACUUUUGGGCUGUUUGAUGUGUUCCUGAUAUGUUCAACAGACAGAGCGUCUGGAGAACUCCACUCCGUAUUUGACAUCUGCCGAGCAGCCGCCCCAUUUCCAUCCCUCUUCCUGGUCAUGGUAGCCCUGCUUUUCUCUGUCACAGCCGCAGUGGCUCAGAUUGCCCUGACUACAGGCUGCUGUCACAGCGUGGGCAACACCUGCUGCCGUGAUGGCGUAGGUAAACGCAGCCUCCUUGCUACCUAGGAAGAAAAGAGUUGAACCUCCUGAGAUGAUCUGACACCAUUGGCACCCCAAAGUUCAUGCCAUGAUAGAACUAAACUCUGCAGGGAUGUAAAUCUCCAGGAGCACGACUGAGCACUCCUGAUCUCGAGAUUGCUGUAAGGAGACUAAACUGACCCCUGCUGGUCGGCCUUUAUGAAAAGAGGGCCACACUCUCACGGAAACAAAUUGCAGCCAAAGCAACACAUGCACACACACAAGAACAGAUCUCAGGGCUGUACCUACUGACCUACUCUCAGCUCUUGCCCAAAGACGGUCCUCUCGCCAAGGGCAGAGCAGUUCCAUCGUCCGUAGCGAAACUGAUAGUGGCACUCGUUGACGCCCAGCUGAGCGCCUUCCCCAAUGAUGAUGAUGGCAUCUGGGCGGCUCUGGCAGAUGGCGCGCUGUCUGGGGGCCAGGCCAGGGAUUUUGUUGCAGAUGAUGUUCGCACCCAAAGCCACGACUGAAGAAAAAGCCCUUUGGAGGAGACCAGGUAUAUUGAUGUCAACAGCUGAUAUAGACCAGGUAUUCAAGAAAUGGGGACCCAAAAAUGAACAUUUGAUUGGAGCCAAAAUCUGCAGCGCAUUGACCCUCCAAAGCAAAUUUGAGGAACCCUGCUUUACUAUAUGAAAAAAUUUAAGAACAUCUCAUGACUCAUUUAAAACAGAACGACAAACUCAAAGUUCAUGAAACAAAGCUUUUACAGGCAAGUGUGGAAAUGAACUUGAUAAUAAUGUCCCAAAUCAUGUCUAAACAGAUGAGCAGACCAACCAUACACUAUUCUACAUAUAAAGACCAUACACAACAAUACGAUCGCAAAAUAUACAGCCCAAUUAAAGUGAAACUACACAAAAUUGUAACCCCAGUGUUAGUCUAUUGAGUCUAUUGAUCAAGUGAACAUGAUUCAGAAAUAUAUUGACCUUUUUUUCUGACAUAGUGGGAGAUGUUCGUACUAAUGACCAGAAGAUGAAGUGUCCUAAUGUCGUGAUACAAAUUUGGAAUAAACCCAUUUGAGCCAAGAAAGACAAAUUUGAGAGGAGCUACCAAAACUAGAGUGUCCAUUCAUCAGUCAUAAUUAAUAGUUUUGCAUUCUUGUUCUUGUAACAAGAAUGUUAUUUAAUAGCAUCUGAACACAGGGAAACUUUAAAAGUCAUCUUCAUAGGUCUGGUCUGAGGAAAAUCCAUGAAGAAUAUUUUGGGCUCUAAAUAGUCCACAGGCUUCUAAAUUAACUAAGAAUCAGAGAACAAUGUGUAAAUUUGACAAGACUCGGACUCAAAGCUUUAAAUAAUGAUUAUGAAAGAGUGACCAGAAUCUAUAUAAAGCACAUUUAUGGUCUACACAUGUGUGGCUCAGUAAUUUCUCCAAAGGCUGAACUUUAGUGCAAAUAAAAGGUUCUCUUUUCCAGCCACAUCUCGCACA